Molecule: long non-coding RNA, 561 nt
Organism: Acyrthosiphon pisum (pea aphid)
Lineage: Eukaryota; Metazoa; Arthropoda; Insecta; Hemiptera; Aphididae
Exons: 3
Source: RefSeq, a predicted model, not a curated record
AACAGUCAUUACAAAAAUAUCUUACUUCAUACCAAAAGAGAUGGAUUCUGAAAAACGUGUUAUACCAUGGACGAGUGGCGAAAAGCAAGUUCUGGAAUCCAACGGAUGUAAACCUAAAAUAUACAUAAACAGCUAUCAUACUCACAAUUUGUUUCAAGUCGUACAAAGUUUACACAGAGAAAAAGUGUUAUGUGAUAUUAAGUAAGAAACAGAUGGCGGUGUAACAGUGUAUGUACAUAAAGUGGUUUUAGUAUCAGUCCAUAUUUCCGUGCGUUGUUCACCAGUUUUGCCGAAGGGGAUAUAGAUGUUGUAAGUUUAAGAUAAUUGGACUCCAAUAUGCUACAAUGCUUGUUGGAUUAUAUUUAUAGUGGUGAAAUCAUGGUCACCGAAGAAAACGUAUUGAAAACUGGUUGAAGCUGAACAGUUCCUAUCUUUGUCUUCUGAAGAAAUGAUUAAUCUAAUUUCAUGUGAUCACAUUAACGUUUCAUUUGAAGAAAAAGUAUGCAUACUAAAAUUUGUAAUUGUUGUAUUUAAUAAAUUAUUGUUGGGAAAUCCAUUUAC